RNAcentral lists this ribosomal RNA (501 nucleotides) under uncultured bacterium. Its description in RNAcentral is "bacterial SSU rRNA". It matches the Rfam family "Bacterial small subunit ribosomal RNA", at positions 1 to 507 of the family's 1533-position model. The record is from RNAcentral.
CACACGAGUUUGAUCCUGGCUCAGAAUGAACGUUGGCGGCGUGGAUUAGGCAUGCAAGUCGAGGGAGAACCCGCAAGGGGGACACCGGCGAACGGGUAGGAUCACCUCGGUGACGUACCCUCCGGACGGGGAUAGCGACGGGAAACUGUCGGUAAUACCCGAUGAUCUGGCGAGCUUUUGAGGCUUGUCAGCAAAGGUGAGAUUCCACCGGAGGAGCGGCUGAGGCGCUAUUAGCUAGUUGGGGAGGUAACGGCUCACCAAGGCGACGAUGGCUAGGGGGUGUGAGAGCAUGGCCCCCACCACUGGCACUGAGACACUGGCCAGACACCUACGGGUGGCUGCAGUCGAGAAUCUUCGGCAAUGGGCGCAAGCCUGACCGAGCGACGCCGCGUGCGGGAUGAAGGUCUUCGGAUUGUAAACCGCUGUCGGAGGGGAUGAAGUGUACGGGGGCUAUCCCCUGUAUUUGACAGAGCCUCGGAGGAAGCACGGGCUAAGUUCGUG